UACGAGAGGCCCAAACGUUAUUCGGAAUUACUGGGCUUAAAGAGUUCGUAGGCGGCGCGGAAAGUAGGGUGUGAAGGCCCUCGGCUCAACCGAGGAAUUGCGCCCUAAACUGCCGUGCUUGAGGAACCUAGAGGUGAGCAGAACAGAUGGUGGAGCGGUGAAAUGCGUUGAUAUCAUCUGGAAUACCGGAGGCGAAGGCGGCUCACUGGGGGUUUUCUGACGCUGAGGAACGAAAGCCAGGGGAGCGAACGGG
This 253-nucleotide ribosomal RNA is filed under the name uncultured bacterium. Its description in RNAcentral is "partial 16S ribosomal RNA". It matches the Rfam family "Bacterial small subunit ribosomal RNA", at positions 524 to 776 of the family's 1533-position model. The record is from RNAcentral.